CUAAGGCUCCAGAGGAAGCCACGGCUAACUCUGUGCCAGCAGCCGCGGUAAUACAGAGGCGGCAAGCGUUGUUCGGAAUUAUUGGGCGUAAAGAGCACGUAGGCGGCCUCGCAAGUCAGUUGUGAAAGCCUUCCGCUUAACGGAAGAAUGCCAGCUGAUACUACAGGGCUUGAGUACGGAAGGGGAGAGUGGAACUUCUGGUGGGGCGGUGAAAUGCGUAGAUAUCAGAAGGAACGCCGGCGGCGAAAGCGACUCUCUGGCCCGAAACUGACGCUGAGUGUGCGAAAGCUAGGGGAGCAAACGGGAUUAGAUACCCCGGUAGUCCUAGCCGUAAA
This 335-nucleotide ribosomal RNA is filed under the name uncultured Planctomycetales bacterium. Its description in RNAcentral is "bacterial SSU rRNA". It matches the Rfam family "Bacterial small subunit ribosomal RNA", at positions 473 to 806 of the family's 1533-position model. Lineage: Bacteria; Pseudomonadati; Planctomycetota; Planctomycetia; Planctomycetales. The record is from RNAcentral.